RNAcentral lists this transfer RNA (72 nucleotides) under Chloroflexota bacterium. Its description in RNAcentral is "Chloroflexi bacterium tRNA-Gly". It matches the Rfam family "tRNA". Rfam says of the family: Transfer RNA (tRNA) molecules are approximately 80 nucleotides in length. Their secondary structure includes four short double-helical elements and three loops (D, anti-codon, and T loops). Further hydrogen bonds mediate the characteristic L-shaped molecular structure. tRNAs have two regions of fundamental functional importance: the anti-codon, which is responsible for specific mRNA codon recognition, and the 3' end, to which the tRNAs corresponding amino acid is attached (by aminoacyl-tRNA synthetases). tRNAs cope with the degeneracy of the genetic code in two manners: having more than one tRNA (with a specific anti-codon) for a particular amino acid; and 'wobble' base-pairing, i.e. permitting non-standard base-pairing at the 3rd anti-codon position. The record is from RNAcentral. Lineage: Bacteria; Bacillati; Chloroflexota.
GCGGGAGUAGCUCAGUGGUAGAGCAUCUGCCUUCCAAGCAGAUGGCCGUGGGUUCGAAUCCCAUCUCCCGCU